UACGUAGGGGGCAAGCGUUGUCCGGAAUCAUUGGGCGUAAAGCGCGUGUAGGCGGUUCGGUAAGUCUGCUGUGAAAGUCCAGGGCUCAACCCUGGGAUGCCGGUGGAUACUGUCGGACUAGAGUACGGAAGAGGCGAGUGGAAUUCCCGGUGUAGCGGUGAAAUGCGCAGAUAUCGGGAGGAACACCAAUUGCGAAGGCAGCUCGCUGGGACGUCACUGACGCUGAGACGCGAAAAGCGUGGGGAGCAAACAGGG
Molecule: ribosomal RNA, 255 nt
Filed under: uncultured bacterium
Lineage: Bacteria
Description: partial 16S ribosomal RNA
Rfam family: Bacterial small subunit ribosomal RNA
Source: RNAcentral